UAGUCAGGCACCCCCGUUUUAUAUUAAGUUUGCACUAAUACAUAUAUACAUAUGUACAUAUGUAUGUGUAUAUGUAUAUGUAUAUGAGCGUGGACCUACAUAAAUAUGUACGUACGAUAGCCUCGCAACCUAAGUUAAUGUAUUUAUGUACUAAAAGAGCAUACCAUAGCGUGUGCAUCAUCAAAUAUAAAGUAUUAAAAUACAAAACUCACAACAAAAACAACAAUUUUAUAUUUAAAAAACAGUUUGUUCAUAAUGGUCAGUCAAAUUAUAGCUACGAAAAAAAAGAAACAAUAAAUAAAGAAAAUACAUUUGAUACAGCAUGUCAGUUUAGUGUUGACGACUAUGUUAUGAAUAAAAAAGUUCCAAGCAAAAAUGAAAAAAUAAAUAAAAACUAUCAAUACGUAUUAAAGGAUAUGGUAAUUGAAAAUGGAAGUGCAGACAAAAAAAAAAGACCCUUCACAACUGAAGCAAAGUAUUUGACACACGACUUAUGUACUACUGCUGCUACUGAUGCUGCUACUACUACUACUACUAAUACUACUACUAAUAAUACUACUACUAAUACUACUAAUACUACUACUACUAAUACUACUACUAAUACUACUACUAAUACUACUACUAAUACUACUAAUACUACUACUACUACUAAUAAUACUACUACUAAUACUAUUAAUACUACUACCGGCACGAACCCAAUUCAAUUACAAGCAAAGCUAAAAAUAGAAAAAAUUUUGCUAAUGCUUAAAAAAAAAAAAAAAAAAAUAAGUCAUAACGUAAUAAAUGAAAUAAUGUCAAUAAUAAAUAUUAAUCUUGAAAUAAAAAACAUAUAUAUAAAUAAGGAUUUAAUUUUAUCGUUUCAUCAUAUGUUAAUAAAAAAAAAAUAUUAUUUGAAUAACAUAAAAAAUAUAAUAUAUCAAAAUUGUGCUAUAAAUAUAUUCGAAUUUAUACAUUAUAAUAUUAACCUACAUUUGGAAAAGUACAAACUCAAAGACAUUUACAUAUUAUUACAUAAUUUAUCUGUAUAUAUACAUAAAAAUAAACAGCAAAAUAACAUAUUGGAUGACUUAAUUAGACGUAUUUUUUAUCAUCAUUUUUUUAAACAUACAAAUAAAUUUGUAUAUAGAAAACAAGGACUGUUGUUAGAUAAACGCAUAAAUGCGUCUGAGCCUGCUCAUGUUAGUACUAUUUUUUCAAGUACAAACGAAAUUAAAAAUGUAAGUAACUGCAUUACAGCCCCGUUUACGACAAACCAUCCCUCCCAAACCAAAUUAUAUAACUACAGAAAUAACGAACAAACUACUUUUUUAUACAUAAAUAGAUACGUAAUUUUUUUAUCAAAUCAUAAAAAAUAUGUAAACGAAAAAAUUUUAUACCAAAUUUGUUUAUUAGCAAAAAAACUUAUUGAAUAUGAUAUAAAUCCUAAAUUUAUUUUAUCUUAUUUAUCAGCUAGCUUAAACAUAUAUAAACAACAAAAAAAAGAAAAAUAUAAUUUAUUUAUAUAUAAAAAAAUAAAUUACAUUUUGUUUAAUAUCGUUUUGGAUUAUGUUAAUAGGAUAGAACUAAAAAAAAAACGUUUAGUGAAAAAUGUCGAUAGUCAUAGUAUACAAGGGUUUGAGGGGGGCGAAUGCGAAGUUAUGACAAAUAAAAAGGCAAAAGCGAAAGUAAACAGUGUAGGGAUGGAGAAUGAAAAUGCUACUUACACAUCACAAACAGAAGCCAAACAAAUUGACAAUAAAAUUGACAAUAAAAUUGACAAUAAAAUUGACAAUAAAAUUGACAACAAAAGUGAAAACAAAAGUGACAAUAAAAUUGACAAUAAAAUUGACAAUAAAAUUGACAACAAAAGUGACAAUAAAAGUGAAAACAAAAGUGACAACAAAAGUGACAACAAAAUUGACAACAAAAGUGACAACAAAAUUGACAACAAAAGUGACAACAAAAGUGAAAACAAAAGUGACAAUAAAAUUGACAAUCAAAACGAUGCCUUUCCCACCAUAUGGCACUAUUCACAUAUUAUACAAAUUUUAAACGUCUUAAAAAUUGAUAGAAUUUUGUCAUAUGACUUGAACAAAGAAAACGCAAAAAGCGUACAAACAAACACAGACCCCAAUAUAAACAAUUCGCAGUCCCUAAAGCAAUUAUUGUAUAAUGUUCUAGAACAUAUGAAAAGAUUAAUCGAAAAUUUUCAAAACGGUUUUUUUUUGUCAUCACAAAAUGAGUUAAACACUUUUUUUUGUAUUUACAUACACAUCUCUACUUUACU
Molecule: long non-coding RNA, 2266 nt
Filed under: Piliocolobus tephrosceles (Ugandan red Colobus)
Lineage: Eukaryota; Metazoa; Chordata; Mammalia; Primates; Cercopithecidae
Description: lncRNA (ENSPTEG00000012644.1)
Source: RNAcentral